Molecule: ribosomal RNA, 433 nt
Filed under: uncultured bacterium
Lineage: Bacteria
Description: partial 16S ribosomal RNA
Rfam family: Bacterial small subunit ribosomal RNA
Source: RNAcentral
AACGAACGCUGGCGGCAUGCCUAACACAUGCAAGUCGAACGAGACCUUCGGGUCUAGUGGCGCACGGGUGCGUAACGCAUGGGAACCUGCCCUUAGGUUCGGAAUAACUCCCCGAAAGGGGUGCUAAUACCGGAUAAUGUCUUCGGACCAAAGAUUUAUCGCCUUUGGAUGGGCCCGCGUUGGAUUAGCUAGUUGGUAGGGUAAAAGCCUACCAAGGCGACGAUCCAUAGCUGGUCUGAGAGGAUGAUCAGCCACACUGGGACUGGGACACGGCCCAGACUCCUACGGGAGGCAGCAGUGGGGAAUAUUGGACAAUGGGCGAAAGCCUGAUCCAGCAAUGCCGCGUGAGUGAUGAAGGCCUUAGGGUUGUAAAGCUCUUUUACCCGGGAUGAUAAUGACAGUACCGGGAGAAUAAGCUCCGGCUAACUCCGUG